UACGUAGGGGGCAAGCGUUGUCCGGAUUUAUUGGGCGUAAAGAGCUCGUAGGCGGCUCGAAAAGUCGGCGGUGAAAACUCGGGACUCAACUCCGAGGCGCCCGUCGAUACUGUCGAGCUUGAGUCCGGUAGGGGAGUGUGGAAUUCCUGGUGUAGCGGUGAAAUGCGCAGAUAUCAGGAGGAACACCGAUGGCGAAGGCAGCACUCUGGGCCGGCACUGACGCUGAGGAGCGAAAGCUAGGGGAACAAACAGG
RNAcentral lists this ribosomal RNA (253 nucleotides) under uncultured bacterium. Its description in RNAcentral is "partial 16S ribosomal RNA". It matches the Rfam family "Bacterial small subunit ribosomal RNA", at positions 524 to 776 of the family's 1533-position model. The record is from RNAcentral.